This 486-nucleotide ribosomal RNA is filed under the name uncultured bacterium. RNAcentral's name for it is "partial 16S ribosomal RNA". It matches the Rfam family "Bacterial small subunit ribosomal RNA", at positions 29 to 507 of the family's 1533-position model. The record is from RNAcentral.
AUUGAACGCUGGCGGCAUGCCUUACACAUGCAAGUCGAACGGCAGCACGGGUGCUUGCACCUGGUGGCGAGUGGCGAACGGGUGAGUAAUACAUCGGAACAUGUCCUGUAGUGGGGGAUAGCCCGGCGAAAGCCGGAUUCAUACCGCAUACGAUCUACGGAUGAAAGCGGGGGACCUUCGGGCCUCGCGCUAUAGGGUUGGCCGAUGGCUGAUUCGCUAGUUGGUGGGGGAAAGGCCUACCAAGGCGACGAUCAGGAGCUGGUCUGAGAGGACGACCAGCCACACUGGGACUGAGACACGGCCCAGACUCCUACGGGAGGCAGCAGUGGGGAAUUUUGGACAAUGGGCGAAAGCCUGAUCCAGCAAUGCCGCGUGUGUGAAGAAGGCCUUCGGGUUGUAAAGCACUUUUGUCCGGAAAGAAAUCCUUGGCCCUAAUACGGUCGGGGGAUGACGGUACCGGAAGAAUAAGCACCGGCUAACUACGUG